AGAAACCAGGCUUUAAAGGCUAGGAAAAAUGACAAACCAAUUUCUUUGAAAGAUUAGAGGAUCUUACCUCUUUCUCUGGCAGUGUUUGGGCCGAAAUCUGAUGAACCAAGGAGAGAAAGAUGUGUCUUUCUUCCGGUGAAGAAUAGUGGCCGACGGUGGGGUUUUCUCAUAAGAGCCUUCGUCCUUUUAAAUAGACAUGGA
Molecule: long non-coding RNA, 201 nt
Filed under: Elaeis guineensis (African oil palm)
Lineage: Eukaryota; Viridiplantae; Streptophyta; Magnoliopsida; Arecales; Arecaceae
Description: long non-coding RNA (EGUI_LNC073802)
Source: RNAcentral